UUUCUUUAUAGUUUAAAUAAAAUUUUAAUUUUGUAAAUUAAAGAUAGUUUUAAAAUAAAUUUAGAACGAAAA
Molecule: transfer RNA, 72 nt
Filed under: Janira maculosa
Lineage: Eukaryota; Metazoa; Arthropoda; Malacostraca; Isopoda; Janiridae
Description: tRNA-Thr
Source: RNAcentral